This 479-nucleotide ribosomal RNA is filed under the name uncultured Glomus. Its description in RNAcentral is "SSU rRNA". It matches the Rfam family "Eukaryotic small subunit ribosomal RNA", at positions 569 to 1055 of the family's 1831-position model. The record is from RNAcentral. Lineage: Eukaryota; Fungi; Glomeromycota; Glomeromycetes; Glomerales; Glomeraceae.
AGCAGCCGCGGUAAUUCCAGCUCCAAUAGCGUAUAUUAAAGUUGUUGCAGUUAAAAAGCUCGUAGUUGAAUUUCGAGAUCAAAUUGUUGGUCGUGCCUUGGUACGCACUGGCAUUAUUGGUUUCUCCCUUCUGACGAAUCAUGAUGUCAUUAAUUUGGUGUCUUGGGGAAUCAGGACUGUUACUUUGAAAAAUUGAGUGUUUAAAGCAGGCUUACGCUUGAAUACAUUAGCAUGGAAUAAUGAAAUAGGACGUUUGAUUCUAUUUUGUUGGUUUCUAGGAUCGACGUAAUGAUUAAUAGGGAUAGUUGGGGGCAUUAGUAUUCAAUUGUCAGAGGUGAAAUUCUUGGAUUUAUUGAAGACUAACUACUGCGAAAGCAUUUGCCAAGGAUGUUUUCAUUAAUCAAGAACGAAAGUUAGGGGAUCGAAGACGAUCAGAUACCGUCGUAGUCUUAACCAUAAACUAUGCCGACUAGGGAUCG